This 150-nucleotide small nuclear RNA is filed under the name Genlisea aurea. RNAcentral describes it as "U4 spliceosomal RNA". It matches the Rfam family "U4 spliceosomal RNA". From Rfam's summary of the family: U4 small nuclear RNA (U4 snRNA) is a component of the major U2-dependent spliceosome. The structure of U4 snRNA from yeast and human has been reported. U4 snRNA presents a k-turn RNA motif in the 5p-SL related to recognition of Snu13 protein. Lineage: Eukaryota; Viridiplantae; Streptophyta; Magnoliopsida; Lamiales; Lentibulariaceae. The record is from Rfam by way of RNAcentral.
AUCUUUGCGCUUGGGGCAAUGACGCAGCUAGUGAGGUUCUAACCGAGGCGCGUCUAUUGCUGGUUGAAAACUAUUUCCAAACCCCCUCUCUGGCUUGGGUUCGGCCCAAGCCUGAGAGAAUUUUUGAAAGGGUUUCCUUCGGGAGAAACC